This is a long non-coding RNA of Sander lucioperca (pikeperch), 257 nucleotides long. RefSeq lists it as uncharacterized. NCBI's taxonomy places the organism in Eukaryota, Metazoa, Chordata, Actinopteri, Perciformes, Percidae. The record is from RefSeq and is a predicted model, not a curated record. The transcript has 3 exons.
AUACCACCUCUUCGAUAACCGAAAAGCCAAAAGAUGGUAACAACACUGGCUCUACCAACACUUUGUCUGCCGGGGCCAUCGCCGCCAUAGCCACAGCCGGCAUCAUCAGCAUCAUCAUCGCCAUCAUCUUCAUCGCUGGGGUGAUCUCUGGAGGUUUUGAUGGAAGGUGUCCCUUCCUCUUAUCUUUUUCACGCCUUCCCUGUCGUCGACGUUUUGAAGGUGUUAGGCAGAACGACCCAGAUGCUCCGGUGGCUCAC